RNAcentral lists this unclassified non-coding RNA (1441 nucleotides) under Dendronephthya gigantea. Its description in RNAcentral is "palmitoyltransferase ZDHHC16B-like, transcript variant X1". Lineage: Eukaryota; Metazoa; Cnidaria; Anthozoa; Malacalcyonacea; Nephtheidae. The record is from RNAcentral.
ACCGAACUUUCAAGUUUCAAGAAUAAAGUUUUGUUGCAAAUUAUUGAGAAAGAAAGUUCAGAAAUUCUAAAAAAUGUUGUGAGGUAAAUUGCAGGCGAAUAUCGCUUUCCAUUUUGUUAUUUGCUAUGCUAGAAGCUCGAUGAUGAUAGUCUGUUUUAUCAAACGGCUCUGGUUCUAUCCAAAGGCUAUUGUAUUCACAAUAUACACUCUGACUUACAAUGCCUUUCAAUCCGAUUCACCGGUUGCUGAUUGUGCAUUUGAACCCAUAAUAUGGAUCGUUGAUCACUUUGCUGGAUGGCUAGGACGGGGCUUGGUCAUACUAGUGAGCUUCUUAAUAUCUGGUGUUGUGGUGAUAUUUUAUGUUUAUGUGAUGCCAAUUGUCCUUGAAUAUGAAAGCACCAUGUUUAGUAUCUGUCACUUGAUCUGUGGUCACUGGCUGUUGUUGAACAUCUCAUUUCAUUAUUACAAAGCUGUUUCAACUAAUCCAGGUUAUCCACCUUCUGGAAAAAAAGCUGUUGCCCUUAGAGAUAUACAAGUUUGUACAAAAUGUAUUCAACCCAAGCCACCAAGAACUCAUCAUUGCAGUGUUUGUAAUAAGUGUAUUCUAAAGAUGGACCACCAUUGUCCAUGGAUUAAUAAUUGUGUUGGACAUUUCAACCAUAGAUAUUUCUUCAUGUUUUGUGUCUACAUGUGUCUUGGGACGAUUUAUGUGUCCCUCACGUUAUUUCCAACAUUUUUCAGUCAUUUUGACGAUUUUGCUAAGAACAUGUUUAAAGAGUAUUUUAAUAUCGGAAUUCCUCGACCCACGACGGCUGCAGAAAAAUAUUUUUUAAAACGUCAUCUAGAACCAAAAAUUACAAAACCAGAGGAAGAAAGCUUACAUAAUAUAGUCAUAUUUGAAUUUAUGUUGUGUUCUUGUGUGGCUGUGGCCGUUGGAGCACUGGCGGGCUGGCACAUGAUUUUAAUAACGAGAGGAGAAACGUCUGUAGAAGUUUAUAUUAACAGAGCCAAGAGAAAGAAAAUGAAGAAGGAAGGAAAAACAUUUUUUAAUCCAUUUCAUUACGGAAUGAUCAGAAACUGGAAGAUUGUACUAGGUCUUGGUCAUGGCAGGGGGCUAUGGUCGAUCAUCAUGCCAUCUUCCCAUCCACCAAAUGGCGAUGGCGUAAGUUGGCCGAGACCAGAAGGGUCAGAACUUAAUGAUGCAUCCACCAUAGGAAAUGAUAAAGCGGCAUUUUUGGCGUAAAAUUCCAGCGUCUUGGCGUAGUAUUUUAAGAUGGAACGUUUAAAUGAAUUUAGAGGUUUGGCACGUGAGAAGCACGACGUAUCAUGUAUGAAGCAGGCCUGCCGAGACAUUCAACCAAGGUCCAAGGAGGAGAAUUUUUACUAUCUUGGUCAAGUUUAUACAAUACUACAUUCAUUCGGCCAUACUGUUAAAAUAAUU